CCUGGCCGCGCAAGGCGGGAAAGUGGGGGCGCUUUUGCGCCUCACGUUAAGUUUAGGGUCACGAGCACUCUUGUGGAGAUCGGGAGCGGUUGGGCUAGGGAUGAUGCCUCUUCCUCUUUCCCCUUCCCCUCCCUUCUUGUCCCCGCCUUUCCUCUGGGUCCUCCCGGGGACCACCCCCUACCCCUCGUCAGAGUCGCCCUGGGAGAGCCGAGGGCCUGAGGGUCGACCACCAAGGGCAGAGCCUAUCCCUUGGGGAGCUGCUGGAGGAGACAGGCAGCGCCGGGAGGUGGCUCACACCGCACCGCCGAGAGCGCUUUGCCCUCGCAUCGCUGAAAUUUAAUCACGGUCACAGGUUACAACGUUAGGGGUCGCUUUAGUUCAAAUAUCUUCAAGGUUUUCGUUUGCUCUUAAUCUAGGAAGAGCCGGAAAGGGUCCUGAGGGUGAAAGGGAGACUACUAAGGAAGAGUCACAGGUUGAGGAGGCAGGAGAAGGCUCAGCAAAUCCUCUUUCCACGCCACUAUCACCAUUUUCCUUUCCACCAAUCAGCGCCUGCCAGACGCUGAUUUUCCCAUCAGUGGAACAAGGAAUAAAUAUUCCCCAGCCGUCUAAAACAAGCGGUCCUAAGGCUUUUCGCUCUAGAAAUGGGACUUACUUUGCAGACCUCCCUUUAUCUGGGAGACAAAUCCAGCGUGAUUUAGCCUACCGGACCAUCAUAUCCAAUUUCUUCUUCAGCCCCUUCUGAAAGGGAGAUGCUACACACCACUCACCUUUCUGACUUCUGAUUCUCGUUGCCCUCAGAAUUGACACCCCCUUUUCUCUCCCCCCACCCACCACACGCACAUGCACACAGACAUACACACGCGAACUUCAAGACAAUUUUUGCAUCGCUUAACACAUUUUCACCUCUUUCAGAGCUGGAAGACAGCUGUUCCUGGAUCACACCAGAAUGGAGAAGCAAGCUCCUCCCACUAGCAGAAAGCCUUUGCUUUCUGUGCCUGGAUUCGGAAGAUUAGUUAAGCACUGGAAGAGGAGGGGGGAAACAACAACUCGUUUUUGCUGUCUGUAUUCUUAAGGAGGGAAAGCUGCUCAAGUACAAAGAAGGGAACUAGAAGUUAAAAUAAAGUUUUUUUAAUUUUUCUUUUCAUUAUUGAUGGACAGCAUGGUCUUCAGUAAAUCUUUAGCCUCUCUGAAUAUAACGUUAAACUAAUUGAAUGGCUUGUACCUCAUAAGAAAUAUGAAGUUAUGAAGUAAUAACAUAUUUGGAAGCAUUACUAACAUGCAUAUUCUGUUCAUAACUACAAUAUUCAUGUUUUGUUUUCUCUUUGCUAAGUGAAAUAUAAAUAUUUUACCAGACCAUAAUAGGAUUCUUUUAUCUGGAUUUAAUUCAUUAAUUUUGCUAUAGAUUAACAUUCUAUGAAAUAUAUGCUUAACCUAGACUUUGUUUACCCCCAUAGAACAACUGAAUUUUUAGGUAUGGUAUGUGGUAAACUUGUGCUAUAGCAAAGACAGCAGAGUAGAAUGGCAUGAAAAUAAAGAUGCUGCCCAUUAACAAUUGAUUAAAGAGAGGACUGAUUUAAUGUGUUUAAGUUAAGAAAAUACAACGUUUAUUAUCUUUGGAUAAUAUUCCGUAUUUGUUGUGAACACAAGGGGUGAUGUAAUGUUGAUGCUGGAGCCACCUGCUUCUUAUUCUCUAUCUGCACCUUCCUCUCACCUUCUGUAAACCUGUGAGAGAGACGAGGUAGUGAGAUUGCGAUAGGCUUCUUGUGUAAUUUCAUAGUGGGUAGAGUAGAGAAAGCCUAAUGCAUACUGUUGGGAGAUCAUUAUGUAUGAUUUUGGAAAGGGGGUGAGCAUGAGAUGGGGGAAUAGGGUUACUCUGAAGAAAUGGGAAGAGCAAUCAAGGAGAAGCAUAGUAUUCAGAUUCUCUAAUUUGACCCCAUGGCCAACUUCAUAUUGUUUCCACUAGAUAUCAUUUUAAAUAUUCCUGUGGUUUCGUGGUCCUAAGAAUAUGAAGGCAUGCAAGAUUCCAAGAUUAAAGAUGUUAAAGCCAGAUAGAAAAGAUAUUUAAAUAUUUCAAAAUCUAACAAGUUCAAAUGACUUUAGUUUUAGAAAGAAAAAAACACAUUAAUGAGCCCAAGAAAUACACGCAACUCUGCAACUCUGGUGAGCAUGAUAGACUUCUAAGAGUAAAUGUACUAGAUACAACCUAAAUUCAGGGACUUAUUAAAGCUCUACUACUCAUUACUAGUGACUCAGAGCAAGUAUCUAUAACCUCUCUAAUCUCUAGUUUUCUCAUUAAAAAAUGGGCAUGAUAUUUUACUUGUCUUGUUUGAUUGUUGUAAGGAAUGAAUAAUGUGGCUCAUAGCAAAGAGCCAGGCAGAGUGGAAGCUCUCAGUACAAGUAGCUAUUGUUAUUAUCUAGCCUCCAUGUUUUGGGUGUCCUAGGACAUGCUUUUUUUUUUUUUCCAUUGCAGUAGAUUUCCACCUGUUCCCAUCCUCCACAGUCUCCCAUCCCACCAGCAACACACGUGAGAUAUCUGAUGCCUUCCCAUCAAUAACUCUCACUUAGUAUGGGUAAGCAAAAAAUUUCCAACCAGGGAUGGAAGUUGUGGAGAGAUAGAGUGGGAAAGCUCAAGGAGCAUUGAUAGGGAUCAUUAAUUAAAAAUCUACCAAACAUCUCUUUCUCUCCCUAAUGUGCGAGUUACAAUAACAUCACUCAAAGCAGUUUGCAGCCACAGCUUGAAGAAAUACAGUAACAAUGACAGAAUUAACAUUCACUAUCUUUAUUAACAUUUUUACUUUCUUAAACCUUGUUUCUUUCAAAAGACACUGGCAUAGUCCUGUAUGAAUUAUGUGGAUUUGCCAAGAGAAAAAAAUAAAAUGAUACAACAAAUGGUGUUCCAAGUUUGACAGACCCUUUGUGCCAGUGGCUCUGAAAGGCUUCAGAAUGAAUAUCCAAUUCAGAAAUCAGUCCCUAAUAUUUCAGAUUAGUGAAGAAUCAACAGACUGAACAGCAUUUGUAUUCAGAAAGGAAGAAAAUAAAUGAAUUUUUAAAAUAUCACGG
This 3060-nucleotide long non-coding RNA is filed under the name Homo sapiens (human). RNAcentral's name for it is "HSALNT0074995". Lineage: Eukaryota; Metazoa; Chordata; Mammalia; Primates; Hominidae. The record is from RNAcentral.